Long non-coding RNA from Dermochelys coriacea (leatherback sea turtle), 157 nucleotides. RefSeq lists it as uncharacterized. The transcript is spliced from 3 exons. Lineage: Eukaryota; Metazoa; Chordata; Testudines; Dermochelyidae. The record is from RefSeq and is a predicted model, not a curated record.
AGAAUCUAAAUAUUACUACAGUUCUAACAAAAACAACCAGGAAUUCUUGUGGCGCUUUAGAGACUAACACAUUUAUUUGGGCAUAAGCUUUUGUGGGCUAGAACCCACUUCAUCAGAUGCAUGGAGUGGAAAAUACAGUAGCAGGGGUGUGUCUGUG